RNAcentral lists this ribosomal RNA (117 nucleotides) under Candidatus Eiseniibacteriota bacterium. Lineage: Bacteria; Candidatus Eiseniibacteriota. The record is from RNAcentral.
UCCGGUGGCUACGGCGGAGGGGAAACACCUCUUCCCAUUCCGAACAGAGAAGUUAAGCCCUCCAGCGCCGAUGGUACUGCACGGGAGACCGUGUGGGAGAGUAGGUCGCCGCCGGGA